AAACGUUUAUCUCAGCUAAACAAGACACUUCUUGCACACCAGUGCUUGCAUUCAGUAGCAGAAUGUGCGGGAAAGCAGAAGGGCAAUCCGGGACAAGAAUAUUUAGGCUACAAUACAGAAACUGAAGCUGUCUCUGAGGCUGCAGCAGCUCUUUCUGGGGAUGCAAACCUUCUCUGAAGGACUGGGAAAUGCAGAGCACAAAAGGACUGAGGAUUUUGUGUGGGAAACUGUGAGUGUGCUUUAAGAAAGGAAGAGUAUGAUUAGAGAACAACAGGCGGAUUUUAAAGUCUCACCUGCUCAGGAGCAAAAGAAGAAAAUUAUUUUUUAGAGGUGAACCAGAAGCCACGGGUUUGCCACCUUGGAAAUAAAUUUACAACAUCAGCAAAUGCUUUUUGAGUGCCCCAGUGAGUCAAAACCAUCUGAGAGCCCAGAGCUGAAGAGAUACUUUGCACAGUUGCUCAGUGACCCGAACUGCUGAGCCGGGCUCUGCCUGCCUCCCCUCCAGAGCUAAUGACCCUCUCAACCACAGCAGGACCUGGAUCCACACCAGGGAUGAGUCGGCUU
This 564-nucleotide long non-coding RNA is filed under the name Zonotrichia albicollis (white-throated sparrow). RNAcentral's name for it is "lncRNA (ENSZALG00000006510.1)". The record is from RNAcentral. Lineage: Eukaryota; Metazoa; Chordata; Aves; Passeriformes; Passerellidae.